RNAcentral lists this non-coding RNA (26 nucleotides) under Homo sapiens (human). Lineage: Eukaryota; Metazoa; Chordata; Mammalia; Primates; Hominidae. The record is from RNAcentral.
UGUAACGGUUGUUGUGAAAGUCUGUA